AACGAACGCUGGCGGCAUGCCUAACACAUGCAAGUCGAACGAGAUCCUUCGGGGUCUAGUGGCGCACGGGUGCGUAACGCGUGGGAAUCUGCCCUUAGGUUCGGAAUAACAGUUAGAAAUGACUGCUAAUACCGGAUGAUGACGUUAAGUCCAAAGAUUUAUCGCCUGAGGAUGAGCCCGCGUAGGAUUAGCUAGUUGGUGUGGUAAAGGCGCACCAAGGCGACGAUCCUUAGCUGGUCUGAGAGGAUGAUCAGCCACACUGGGACUGAGACACGGCCCAGACUCCUACGGGAGGCAGCAGUGGGGGAUAUUGGACAAUGGGCGCAAGCCUGAUCCAGCAAUGCCGCGUGAGUGAUGAAGGCCUUAGAGUUGUAAAGCUCUUUUACUCGGGAUGAUAAUGACAGUACCGGGAGAAUAAGCCCCGGCUAACUCCGUG
RNAcentral lists this ribosomal RNA (436 nucleotides) under uncultured bacterium. RNAcentral describes it as "partial 16S ribosomal RNA". It matches the Rfam family "Bacterial small subunit ribosomal RNA", at positions 29 to 507 of the family's 1533-position model. The record is from RNAcentral.